Molecule: long non-coding RNA, 1186 nt
Filed under: Mytilus galloprovincialis (Mediterranean mussel)
Lineage: Eukaryota; Metazoa; Mollusca; Bivalvia; Mytilida; Mytilidae
Source: RNAcentral
UCAUUCUUGACAAGCUAAAAAUAUAUCCUCUGUUUCAAACUGUAGAUGUAGAAUGGUAUACUUUGUAUAAUAUAUCAAUACAUAAUACAGGGAGACGGAUACUUUUAUAGUUUCAUCAAUGAAGAUAUAACCAGGUGUGAGAGAAAAAAAAGAGACAUGUUACAAGCUUCUGAAAGAAAAAGUGAAAUCACUAAAAUACCAAACUCCUAGAAAUAUUCAGAAUGGACAGCCCCUCGUACACUUCAACUGAACGGAUAACAACUGUCACAUUCCUGACUUGGUACAGGCAUUCCCAGUUAUAAACCUUAAUUGAUUUGCACUUAUUACAAAAUUUCUGACAUUUGGAAUGGUUAAAAAGUAAUAUUCACAUUUAUCAUAUGUUUAGUAGUAAAUACAGUAGUUUUGCAUAUUUGAUAAAUAGCCUGCUGUUUAAUCCAUAUCGCACAACUUUGAUGCGCACCCUUUAUCGCAUACCCUUUAUCACACCCUACUUUUUUUUUUUUUUGCUUAAGAAAAUUUUUCCUUUAAAUAGGUCCAAUAGAACGGUCAUUCGGGCCUGAUGCAAUUUAUUGAAUGACGUCAUUGUUUGGUAUGUGACGUCACGAAUGUCAUUUUUUCAUAUUUUUUGGCACACUAAAUGGAACUAAAAAAUAUACAAUAAUAAACAAAAUAUUUUUAAAACAACAGCACGCAAAUUGUAAGGUAACCUAGGUGCUAUGGAUAAGUAAUUGAGCAGUUCUUUUAAGGUCUUUGUAACAAGACAAAAGUAGAACUGAAGGUAACCCAGUGCUAUGGAUCAGAAAACAGUUCAUAUAAUAUAAUACUCUUCUGUUGAAAUAUAUGAUAAAGCGUAUAGAACAUGGCAAAAUCCAUAUCAUAUGUCGUAUCAUCCUGAGACACCAAUAUCAGCCCAAAGGCCUAUAGAUUUUUGAAUGUUUAAUAUGACAUUGAAAAAAUCACGUACUAUCAACAAACUAGCAAACAAAAACAAAAACAAAAAACUGUCCACAUGCAUAUUAUUUGUUGCUCAAUGUUGAAUGGUUUAGACAAAUUUAAGCCCUUUUCCCACAAUAUGACACUUAUAUAAAAUGUUAAAAUGGCUUCUGAUUUAAUAAAAUGUUAAAAUGGCUCUGAUUUACUAGAACUUUUGUUUUACUCAUGUUUUAUAUAUUCACUUGUUCUAAAU